GCCGGAGUAGCUCAGCGGUAGAGCAAUCCCCUCGUAAGGGAGAGGUCAUCGGUUCGAAUCCGAUCUCCGGCUCAA
Molecule: transfer RNA, 75 nt
Filed under: Candidatus Parcubacteria bacterium
Lineage: Bacteria; Candidatus Parcubacteria
Description: tRNA-Thr
Rfam family: tRNA
About the family: Transfer RNA (tRNA) molecules are approximately 80 nucleotides in length. Their secondary structure includes four short double-helical elements and three loops (D, anti-codon, and T loops). Further hydrogen bonds mediate the characteristic L-shaped molecular structure. tRNAs have two regions of fundamental functional importance: the anti-codon, which is responsible for specific mRNA codon recognition, and the 3' end, to which the tRNAs corresponding amino acid is attached (by aminoacyl-tRNA synthetases). tRNAs cope with the degeneracy of the genetic code in two manners: having more than one tRNA (with a specific anti-codon) for a particular amino acid; and 'wobble' base-pairing, i.e. permitting non-standard base-pairing at the 3rd anti-codon position.
Source: RNAcentral